GCAGUGAAUAAUGUUCAUCUUGUCUGAUGCUGUCCUGCUUGGAGAAGCAGUAAGCUUUGCUCAGUGUUUGUGACUGCUGUUGAAGUCUACUCUCUAGUUGCUUACUGGAGAGAGUUCUGGUAGCCUGACUCAGCUGGCAAGUAUUAACAAAAGGACCCGUGCAGGCAAUCUGAUUCCUUGUGUUUGAACAGGAUAUGUACAGGAUGUGGAUAGAAAAACAUUGUGAACAGCAGAUCCUUUUGGCUGUUGAGCUUUCUGCACAGGGGAGUAAGUUCUUUAGGAAAUACAUAGCUAUGCAGAAGGACAAAGAAAAUGGAGUACUUAAACCUGUUGAUGGCCUGUGUGAAGAGCAUCUCAAAGGUUACCACUCUGGUCCCUGUAAUCCAAGGAAGCUGAAUAAAAGGCUUUUCAGUGCAGUUGUGAUACUGGUAUUCAUCCUAGUGGUGCUUCCUGUUGUCCACACUUUUCUUUGAGGAGUAUUGAGACCAAGUUUCUUUGUACUUAAAUAUGCUUUUAUUUAGUCUAGGAGGCACAAGGUGGUUGCUUUCUAUCUCUUGACAAUUCCUAGAAGAAAUUUCUAUGCCAGCUUCUUCAGACUUAUGGUUCUGGAGUAGGGUCGUGAUUAAGUAUCUGUUCUUUUGAGCUUGCCAGCUUUGCUUUUCCUACACUCCACAGCUUGGGCACAGUUUGGAAACCAUGGGUUCCUUGAAGCACUAGGUGAACAGUGACACAAGAGUGAGUCAGCAGCGUGCUAAAUGUCUAAUAUUUUCUCACAGGUGUGUGCUCUCUCUUCUCUAAAUUGCUUCUUGCUACUUUGGUUGCUUUUUAGCCUGAUAAGCAAAAUGAAAGUUUU
Neopsephotus bourkii (Bourke's parrot) is the source of this 853-nucleotide long non-coding RNA. RefSeq lists it as uncharacterized. The record is from RefSeq and is a predicted model, not a curated record. The transcript is spliced from 3 exons. NCBI's taxonomy places the organism in Eukaryota, Metazoa, Chordata, Aves, Psittaciformes, Psittacidae.